UACGGAGGGUGCGAGCGUUGUCCGGAAUCACUGGGCGUAAAGGGUGCGUAGGCGGCCGAGUAAGUCACGUGUGAAAGCCCGGGGCUCAACCCCGGUUCGGCAUGUGAGACUGCUGGGCUCGAGCGCGGUAGAGGCGAGUGGAAUUCCUGGUGUAGCGGUGGAAUGCGUAGAGAUCAGGAAGAACACCGGUGGCGAAGGCGGCUCGCUGGGCCGUUGCUGACGCUGAGGCACGAAGGCGUGGGGAG
RNAcentral lists this ribosomal RNA (245 nucleotides) under uncultured bacterium. Its description in RNAcentral is "partial 16S ribosomal RNA". It matches the Rfam family "Bacterial small subunit ribosomal RNA", at positions 524 to 768 of the family's 1533-position model. The record is from RNAcentral.